RNAcentral lists this unclassified non-coding RNA (1659 nucleotides) under uncultured fungus. RNAcentral describes it as "sequence contains 18S rRNA gene, ITS1, 5.8S rRNA gene, ITS2, 28S rRNA gene". The stretch from base 579 to 1659 matches the Rfam family "Eukaryotic large subunit ribosomal RNA", at positions 1 to 961 of the family's 3401-position model. The record is from RNAcentral. Lineage: Eukaryota; Fungi.
GGAAGGAUCAUUACUUGAUUCUCUUUUUUUAGAGAGUAUAUCCAUGUGCACUGUUUCUAUUUUAGAAGCCUUUGUAUUCGUAAGAAUGUCGUAAGAAUAAAGUUUAUAAAUAAAAACUUUCAACAACGGAUCUCUUGGCUCUCGCAUCGAUGAAGAACGCAGCGAAAUGCGAAAAGUAAUGUGAAUUGCAGAAUUCAGUGAAUCAUCGAAUCUUUGAACGCACAUUGCACUCUUUGGUAUUCCGAAGAGUAUGUCUGUUUCAGUAUCAUUUUAGAUCUCAUCUUCUUUAGAGUUGGCUUUCGAGUUGGCUCUAGAGAGUUGGACUUGACCUUAUUUUUUCGCUCAACUGAAAAAGUUGUUGAAAAAAAGGGUCGAAAGGUAGUAAAAGUAGCCGCGUACUCCUUGUCCAUUACGGACAUUGUUCGCAUUUUACUUUUGAGGCAUUGUUUCUUGUCUGAGAAAACGUCUGUGGACGCUUUUCUCGCAGGAACGCCCCUAAAGGUUGUCGACGCGAAUUUCUUGUAACGGCGCCCCUAAAGCACCAGUACAAAAAAUUCGCGUAAACGCCCCAAAAUAAGUGAUCUGAAAUCAGACAAGACUACCCGCUGAACUUAAGCAUAUCAAUAAGCGGAGGAAAAGAAACUAACAAGGAUUCCCCUAGUAACGGCGAGUGAAGCGGGAAAAGCUCAUAUUUGAAACCUGUGCGGUUCGCCGCUUAGGAUUGUAGAGUGCAGAAGCGUUUUCCGUAGAAGCUUGGGUAUAACUCCUUUGGAACAGGGGAUCAUAGAGGGUGAGAAUCCCGUCUUUGACCCGAGUCCUUCUACUCUGUGCUACGCUUUCAAAGAGUCGGGUUGUUUGGGAAUGCAGCCCAAAAUGGGUGGUAAGUUUCAUCUAAAGCUGAAUAUUGGCGAGAGACCGAUAGCGAACAAGUACCGUGAGGGAAAGAUGAAAAGAACUUUGAAAAGAGAGUUAAACAGUACGUGAAAUUGUUGAAAGGGAAACGCUUGAAAUCAGAUUCGUGAUUGUAAAAUCAGCUGUUCGUUUUAUAAAGGGAGGCUAGUGUGAGCGCAAGCCGCACUGGUCUUUUUUUCUAAAACGCACAGUGCACUUUUGCAGUCCCAAGUCAGCGCCGGUUUGAUUUAGUGGAAAAAAGCGUGAGGAAUGUAGGUCUUUUUAGACUGUUAUAGACUCGUGCAUAAUACACUGAAUUAGACCGAGGAAGGCUGUGCGCCGCAAGGCAAGGGAAGUGUGUGCUUGGUCCCUAGUAUUGCGAGACUGCUUGCAGACUCGUAGUACAAAAGGAUUGACCCAUUUACUUUCCCCAAAGUACAACGGGCGCUGACAAAAUGGUUUUAAACGACCCGUCUUGAAACACGGACCAAGGAGUCUAACAUGUAUGCAAGUAUUCGAGUAAUUAAACUCUCAUGCGAAAUUAACGUAAAAGGGUGCGGACAGCACCGACCGAUCCUGAGCCUCGCGCAAAGGAUUCGAGUAAGAGCAUAUCUGUUGGGACCCGAAAGAUGGUGAACUAUGCCUGAAUAGGGUGAAGCCAGAGGAAACUCUGGUGGAGGCUCGUAGCGAUUCUGACGUGCAAAUCGAUCGUCAAAUUUGGGUAUGGGGGCGAAAGACUAAUCGAACCAUCUAGUAGCUGGUUCCUGC